GGCAGACGGGUGAGUAAUGUAUAGGAAUCUACCUAGUAGUACGGAAUAAUUGUUGGAAACGACAACUAAUACCGUAUACGCCCUACGGGGGAAAAAUUUAUUGCUAUUAGAUGAGCCUAUAUUAGAUUAGCUAGUUGGUGGGGUAAUAGCCUACCAAGGUAAUGAUCUAUAGCUGAUCUGAGAGGAUGAUCAGCCACACUGGAACUGAGAUACGGUCCAGACUCCUACGGGAGGCAGCAGUGGGGAAUAUUGGACAAUGGGCGAAAGCCUGAUCCAGCCAUGCCGCAGAGUGAAGAAGGCCUUUGGGUUGUAAAGCUCUUUUAGUGAGGAAGAUAAUGACGGUACUCACAGAAGAAGUCCUGGCUAACUCCGUGCCAGCAGCCGCGGUAAUACGGAGAGGGCUAGCGUUAUUCGGAAUUAUUGGGCGUAAAGGGCGCGUAGGCUGGUUAAUAAGUUAAAAGUGAAAUCCCGAGGCUUAACCUUGGAAUUGCUUUUAAAACUAUUAAUCUAGAGAUUGAAAGAGGAUAGGGGAAUUCCUGAUGUAGAGGUAAAAUUCGUAAAUAUUAGGAGGAACACCAGUGGCGAAGGCGUCUAUCUGGUUCAAAUCUGACGCUGAAGCGCGAAGGCGUGGGGAGCAAACAGGAUUAGAUACCCUGGUAGUCCACGCUGUAAACGAUGAAUGUUAAAUAUGGGGAGUUUACUUUCUGUAUUACAGCUAACGCGUUAAACAUUCCGCCUGGGGACUACGGUCGCAAGAUUAAAACUCAAAGGAAUUGACGGGGACCCGCACAAGCGGUGGAGCAUGUGGUUUAAUUCGAUGCAACGC
This 826-nucleotide ribosomal RNA is filed under the name Wolbachia pipientis. RNAcentral describes it as "bacterial SSU rRNA". It matches the Rfam family "Bacterial small subunit ribosomal RNA", at positions 97 to 962 of the family's 1533-position model. The record is from RNAcentral. Lineage: Bacteria; Pseudomonadati; Pseudomonadota; Alphaproteobacteria; Rickettsiales; Anaplasmataceae.